ACGAAGGCAAGCAACAACAGAAGCGAAAGCUCUAUACUAAAACAUACAACCAUUCAUGAUAUUUGAUUACAUUUUAACCAAAUACAAUUAAACUAAAACUAAUACAUUCAUUUCCUUUCAUUCAUAAAUUCUUUUACAUCUUAAUCAUUCUCCCAAAAUACAUGAUUGUUUACAACUUUACAACUCUAAUCAACAAAAGAAAGUUGAUACAUGAACCAAAAAGGGAAUGACUAAUGCAUAACUUCGGUGGCCACUCGCUAUGGCGCGAUACCCUUACCUCGAUCCUCCGCCGCCCCGCUCACGCUCGGAUCUGUAGGGUUAGUGGUGUGAGAACUACAACGAAGUUUCCAGUGGGUUCGGCAACCGACCUCGCCGACUUACCCACUAGGUUUAUUCAGGCAUAAGUAUUUCAAAGGAAAGGAAAACUGUAACCAAUGCUAAUGCUAAUACUAUGCCUGUAAGAAAGCUGUCAAUGGAUAUAUAUAAUCAAAUAUGAAUGAUUAU
Molecule: long non-coding RNA, 504 nt
Filed under: Ananas comosus (pineapple)
Lineage: Eukaryota; Viridiplantae; Streptophyta; Magnoliopsida; Poales; Bromeliaceae
Description: long non-coding RNA (ACOM_LNC011944)
Source: RNAcentral